AACGAACGCUGGCGGCAUGCCUAACACAUGCAAGUCGAACGGGAUCCAGGCUUCGGCCUGGUGAGAGUGGCGGACGGGUGAGUAACACGUGGGAACCUGCCUUUUGGUUCGGGAUAACCGCGGGAAACUGCGGCUAAUACCGGAUGCUCCCGAGAGGGGGAAAGAUUUAUCGCCAGAAGAGGGGCCCGCGUCCGAUUAGGUAGUUGGUGAGGUAAUGGCUCACCAAGCCGACGAUCGGUAGCUGGUCUGAGAGGAUGAUCAGCCACACUGGGACUGAGAUACGGCCAGACUCCGUACGGGAGGCAGCA
Molecule: ribosomal RNA, 308 nt
Filed under: uncultured bacterium
Lineage: Bacteria
Description: bacterial SSU rRNA
Rfam family: Bacterial small subunit ribosomal RNA
Source: RNAcentral